Molecule: ribosomal RNA, 450 nt
Filed under: uncultured bacterium
Lineage: Bacteria
Description: partial 16S ribosomal RNA
Rfam family: Bacterial small subunit ribosomal RNA
Source: RNAcentral
GUGGGGAAUUUUGGACAAUGGGGGCAACCCUGAUCCAGCCAUGCCGCGUGCGGGAAGAAGGCCUUCGGGUUGUAAACCGCUUUUGUCAGGGAAGAAAUCCUUUGGGUUAAUACCUCGGAGGGAUGACGGUACCUGAAGAAUAAGCACCGGCUAACUACGUGCCAGCAGCCGCGGUAAUACGUAGGGUGCGAGCGUUAAUCGGAAUCACUGGGCGUAAAGCGCGCGUAGGCGGUCCAUUAAGUGUGCGGUGAAAUUCGGAGGCUCAACCUCCGUCCCGCCGCGCAAACUGAUGGUCUUGAGAUUGGGAGGGGGAUGCGGAAUUCCUGGUGUAGCGGUGAAAUGCAUUGAUAUCAGGAGGAACACCGGCGGCGAAAGCGGCAUCCUGGCUUAUAUCUGACGCUGAGGCGCGAAAGCGUGGGUAGCAAACGGGAUUAGAUACCCCUGUAGUCC